CAGGCACUGUCCUAAGCACUUUGAGAUUUUAUCUCACAAUAUCCACGCAACUGUCCUAGGAGGUAGCUACUAUUGUUGUCCCUAUUUUACCAAGGAGGAACCUGAGGAGUUAAUCCAUUUGUCUAAGGUCACUUGGUAAGUAAAAAUUGGAAGACAGGCUUCCAGGUCUAUCAGACUCCAAAGAUCUGCACUCUGAACCCCCGUGUUUCUCAGCAGGUGGAACACCUGACUUUUAUGAGUGACACAAGUAUAAAGUUGGAAUGCAAAUCAUUACUCUGGUGCAUCCCUGGGCCCCCAGCAGUAUGGCUGGUUUGGUUCAGGGCCUUUGUUGAAGGUUCAGGUCUGCUUCGCAGAUGGCUUGAAAAGGAGGAUGAAGAGGAAGGGGAGGAAGAGGAGGAGAAGUAAGUUGCUUUUAGGCUGUAUUUAGCAUAUUCUAAGGCAAUUAGUGAAUGCUCUUUUUUGUGUUUCAGAUGAAUGGUGGCCCCUUCAGUGAUGAUAGAAUCCACCAGUCUCCCAUUUAGAAGGAACCUAACAACAUGUAGUUGAGGCUUCUGCCUCCAGGAAAGAUUGGAGAGAUGACCCUCCAGACCUGUUUCCUUAUCACUACAAAUGGG
Molecule: long non-coding RNA, 614 nt
Filed under: Homo sapiens (human)
Lineage: Eukaryota; Metazoa; Chordata; Mammalia; Primates; Hominidae
Description: HSALNT0200574
Source: RNAcentral